GCAUGAUAAUUUGCCCUUUAAUUGUGGGCUUGAACGAAAGAAUUAACGAAGGUUUAGCUGUCUCUAUUUUAUUAUUAGAAAUUAGUAUUUAAGUGAAAAAACUUAUAUUUAUAAGAAGGACAAAAAGACCCCAUAGAGCUUGGUAAAUUCUUAUUUAAAAAAAGAAAGUAGGUUUAUAUUUUUUUGUUAAUAAGUAAUACUUAACUGGGGCGGUUGAUGAAAAUAUUAAAUCUUCUUUUUAGCAAUUUAGUUAACAAACUUAUUAUUUAAUGACCCUUUAAAAGAUCAUAGGAUUAGCUACCUUGGGGGUAACAGACUAAUUUUUUUUGAGAGUUCGUAUUGACAAAAAAGU
RNAcentral lists this ribosomal RNA (352 nucleotides) under Sosane wahrbergi. RNAcentral describes it as "partial 16S ribosomal RNA". The record is from RNAcentral. Lineage: Eukaryota; Metazoa; Annelida; Polychaeta; Terebellida; Ampharetidae.